Molecule: ribosomal RNA, 497 nt
Filed under: uncultured bacterium
Lineage: Bacteria
Description: partial 16S ribosomal RNA
Rfam family: Bacterial small subunit ribosomal RNA
Source: RNAcentral
GAUGAACGCUGGCGGCGUGCCUAAUACAUGCAAGUCGAGCGAACAGACGAGGAGCUUGCUCCUCUGACGUUAGCGGCGGACGGGUGAGUAACACGUGGAUAACCUACCUAUAAGACUGGGAUAACUUCGGGAAACCGGAGCUAAUACCGGAUAAUAUAUUGAACCGCAUGGUUCAAUAGUGAAAGACGGUUUUGCUGUCACUUAUAGAUGGAUCCGCGCCGCAUUAGCUAGUUGGUAAGGUAACGGCUUACCAAGGCAACGAUGCGUAGCCGACCUGAGAGGGUGAUCGGCCACACUGGAACUGAGACACGGUCCAGACUCCUACGGGAGGCAGCAGUAGGGAAUCUUCCGCAAAGGGCGAAAGCCUGACGGAGCAACGCCGCGUGAGUGAUGAAGGUCUUCGGAUCGUAGAACUCUGUUAUUAGGGAAGAACAAAUGUGUAAGUAACUAUGCACGUCUUGACGGUACCUAAUCAGAAAGCCACGGCUAACUACGUG